GAUGAACGCUGACAGAAUGCUUAACACAUGCAAGUCGAUGGGGAAGUGGUGCUUGCACCAUGGUAACCAUGGCGGACGGGUGAGUAACGCGUAAGGAACUUGCCUGCGGGACUGGGAUAACAGCAGGAAACUGCUGAUAAUACCGGAUAAGGUCAUUAAGCUGCAUAGCUUAGUGAUGAAAGGAGACGCCUGCGGAGAGCCUUGCGUCCUAUUAGCUAGUUGGAGGGGUAACGGCCCACCAAGGCGAAGAUAGGUAGCCGGCCUGAGAGGGUGGACGGCCACAAGGGGACUGAGAUACGGCCCUUACUCCUACGGGAGGCAGCAGUGGGGAAUAUUGGACAAUGGGGGCAACCCUGACCCAGCAAUUCUGUGUGCACGAAGACGGUUUUCGGAGUGUAAAGUGCUUUCAGCAGGGAAGAAGGAAGUGACGGUACCUGCAGAAGAAGCGACGGCUAAAUACGUG
This 463-nucleotide ribosomal RNA is filed under the name uncultured bacterium. RNAcentral describes it as "partial 16S ribosomal RNA". It matches the Rfam family "Bacterial small subunit ribosomal RNA", at positions 28 to 507 of the family's 1533-position model. The record is from RNAcentral.